This 189-nucleotide ribosomal RNA is filed under the name Triticum aestivum (bread wheat). RNAcentral describes it as "partial small subunit ribosomal RNA". Lineage: Eukaryota; Viridiplantae; Streptophyta; Magnoliopsida; Poales; Poaceae. The record is from RNAcentral.
AUGUGGGCUAUGAAGGCAGUCAAAUUGGGAUAUAAAUGGGAUGUUGGAAAUGGUAGAUCAAUUAAGUUUUGGGAAGAUAUUUGGUUUGGUAAUUCACCACUUGCCACCCAAUUCUGGGAUUUAUACUGCAUAGCUAAUGAUAAGAACAAAACCAUAGCAGAUACCUGGGAUGGAGAGUCUCUCAGAAUC